Trichonephila inaurata madagascariensis is the source of this 74-nucleotide non-coding RNA. Lineage: Eukaryota; Metazoa; Arthropoda; Arachnida; Araneae; Nephilidae. The record is from the annotation of a GenBank genome assembly.
UCCUCGGUAGUAUAGUGAUGAGUGUUUCCGCAUAUGUCCCGUGGAAGACCGGGGUUCGAUUCCCCACCGGGGAA